CAUUCAAUGUUUAACAUUUCUACUUUAACAAAAUUACAUUUAUAUGUAUUUUAUCUGCAUGAAUAUUAACUUGGGAGUAUAUUACAGGCUGAAGCAAGAGCUGAAUUUGCUGAGAGGUCUGUCCAAAAAUUGCAGAAGGAAGUCGACAGAUUGGAAGACGAACUGGUCCAAGAAAAGGAGAAAUACAAAGCAAUCUCAGACGAGUUGGACCAAACAUUUGCAGAGCUUACUGGCUACUAAAUAUCUCGCUUCUGUGCCUGCAUAUCUCUACAAAUUCCAUUUUGUAUGUUUCUCACUCUUUGUCUUGGAUGUCAACAUCUCUUAUCAUCCAAACUGUGAACGAAAAACGAAAUCGACUUUGUGUUUCACGAUCAUAUGUGGCCGAGCUUGAACCUAAACGCAAGCUGAGAAACAUAAAUAUAGAAUUUAUAUACACCUCUAACAUUUACCAAAGUUGCUCUGUAUAUCUAAUAUUCAAACUGUAAAUUUCAAAAAAAUGUGAAAUUUUACUUGAGAGAAUCAUUAAAAUGAUUUUUAUUCGUUCA
Long non-coding RNA from Stegodyphus dumicola, 545 nucleotides. The record is from RefSeq and is a predicted model, not a curated record. NCBI's taxonomy places the organism in Eukaryota, Metazoa, Arthropoda, Arachnida, Araneae, Eresidae.